Molecule: ribosomal RNA, 232 nt
Filed under: uncultured bacterium
Lineage: Bacteria
Description: partial 16S ribosomal RNA
Rfam family: Bacterial small subunit ribosomal RNA
Source: RNAcentral
CGGACGGGUGAGUAAUGUAUGGGGAUCUGCCUGAUGGCGGGGGAUAACUACUGGAAACGGUAGCUAAUACCGCAUAACGUCGCAAGACCAAAGAGGGGGACCUUCGGGCCUCUUGCCAUCAGAUGAACCCAUAUGGGAUUAGCUUGUAGGUAAGGUAACGGCUUACCUAGGCGACGAUCCCUAGCUGGUCUGAGAGGAUGAUCAGCCACACUGGGACUGAGACACGGCCCAG